RNAcentral lists this ribosomal RNA (484 nucleotides) under uncultured bacterium. Its description in RNAcentral is "bacterial SSU rRNA". It matches the Rfam family "Bacterial small subunit ribosomal RNA", at positions 30 to 507 of the family's 1533-position model. The record is from RNAcentral.
AUUGAACGCUGGCGGCAUGCCUUACACAUGCAAGUCGAACGGCAGCACGGGAGCAAUCCUGGUGGCGAGUGGCGAACGGGUGAGUAAUAUAUCGGAACGUGCCCAGUCGUGGGGGAUAACGUAGCGAAAGCUACGCUAAUACCGCAUACGAUCUAUGGAUGAAAGCGGGGGAUCGCAAGACCUCGCGCGAUUGGGAGCGGCCGAUAUCAGAUUAGGUAGUUGGUGAGGUAAAGGCUCACCAAGCCGACGAUCUGUAGCUGGUCUGAGAGGACGACCAGCCACACUGGGACUGAGACACGGCCCAGACUCCUACGGGAGGCAGCAGUGGGGAAUUUUGGACAAUGGGCGCAAGCCUGAUCCAGCAACGCCGCGUGCAGGAUGAAGGCCUUCGGGUUGUAAACUGCUUUGUACGGAACGAAACGGUGAGCUCUAAUACAGUUUGCUAAUGACGGUACCGUAAGAAUAAGCACCGGCUAACUACGUG